UACGUAGGGACCGAGCGUUGUCCGGAAUCAUUGGGCGUAAAGAGCGUGUAGGCGGCCAACUAAGUCCUGCGUGAAAUCUCGGGGCUCAACCCCGAGCGGUCGUGGGAAACUGGUUGGCUAGAGUGCGGGAGAGGAGAGUGGAAUUCCUGGUGUAGCGGUGAAAUGCGCAGAUAUCGGGAGGAACACCAGUGGCGAAGGCGACUACCUGGCCUGUUCUUGACGCUGAGGCGCGAAAGCUAGGGGAGCAAACGGG
Molecule: ribosomal RNA, 253 nt
Filed under: uncultured bacterium
Lineage: Bacteria
Description: partial 16S ribosomal RNA
Rfam family: Bacterial small subunit ribosomal RNA
Source: RNAcentral